RNAcentral lists this ribosomal RNA (253 nucleotides) under uncultured bacterium. Its description in RNAcentral is "partial 16S ribosomal RNA". It matches the Rfam family "Bacterial small subunit ribosomal RNA", at positions 524 to 776 of the family's 1533-position model. The record is from RNAcentral.
UACGUAGGGUCCGAGCGUUGUCCGGAUUUACUGGGCGUAAAGGGCGUGCAGGCGGUCUGUUUAGUCUAGGGUGAAAGCUCCCGGCUCAACUGGGAGAGGUCCUUGGAUACUGGCAGACUUGAGGGAGGUAGAGGAGAGUGGAAUUCCCGGUGUAGUGGUGAUAUGCGUAGAUAUCGGGAGGAACACCAGUGGCGAAGGCGGCUUCCUGGACCAGCACCGACGUUCAGGCACGAAAGCGUGGGGAGCAAACAGG